Molecule: unclassified non-coding RNA, 420 nt
Filed under: Bombus terrestris (buff-tailed bumblebee)
Lineage: Eukaryota; Metazoa; Arthropoda; Insecta; Hymenoptera; Apidae
Description: misc RNA ENSBTSG00005039090.1
Source: RNAcentral
GAAGGUACUCGAAGGCUAUUUACCGUAACAUUCGGAACAGGAAGCUGAAAGUCCUUGCCGGAUAUGUCACGUCUUCGCGUCUUUUCGGCGAACGUCUUGCAUUUCACGAAAGAAGAAAGGAGCCACGAUUACGAUCCUGAGUUUUCGAUUGAAGUAUUUCCUGCUGAUGCCAGCUGCGGAAUAAUACAUAGUGUUGAUAGCCCCGAUGAUCGUUAUUCAUCGAACAUCAGAUUGCAUCAUUCCAUGAUCUUCUUCCGCCAGCGGAACUUGGAUUAAGUGUGCAUUAGAAAAAGCUCGUCUUGAGGGAUAAUAAAUAAUAAAUAUCUUCCUACAAUAACAUCAAAUGAGCUAAAAACUACUUAGAUCUGUGUGUUUUACUGUAAGAAUUCCAAGGUUGCUUCGUCACUUUUUCCUAGAAAC